This 537-nucleotide ribosomal RNA is filed under the name Triticum aestivum (bread wheat). RNAcentral describes it as "partial small subunit ribosomal RNA". The record is from RNAcentral. Lineage: Eukaryota; Viridiplantae; Streptophyta; Magnoliopsida; Poales; Poaceae.
AUGUGGCUUGACCCUCUUAUUAGCUUCUGCAUGUGCUUCCAGGCCGAGAUCACACGAAAAAAGUACUAUGGAGCCACGUCCAGCAUUGAAGAGUACUUCCAUUUUGUGUAUGGGGAUGAUGCCACUGAGAUCAACUUAUCUCUGAGAGGGUUUUUACCCAAGGACAAUUGGACGAAAAGGCCACGAGGUCCUCGCAAGAAAAGGAAAUUCCCGUCGAACCCACAGUGCGUAGGACAGUUGCAUGUUGGGAGUAAGGGCACGAAAUCUCGAGGUAGAAAAAACAAUGAGCGAUGGACACCUGACGAGGUGACCAUACUGCUUAAAGGUAUCCGUAGAUAUGGUGAGGGGAAAUGGACAAAAGUGAAGAAAUGGUACUUCAGAAAAUCGGUUCGAACGGCAGUACAUCUGAAGGAUAAGUGGAGAAACCUACGCAAAGCUUGUGGAGGUCAGGUGUACCUCUCAAAAGUGGAAGACACAAAAUACUAUGUUCCAGCCGUUGGACGAAGAUUUGGUGUGACAGAUCAGAAAGCUAGCUAG